AAAUAUUAAGACUUUGUCUUUUGUUGAUAUUCUCACGUUAGUGAUUUAUCUAAAUAUUUUGGCGUAUUGUAAUAGCUUCAAAAAACGCAGUGAAAAUGUGUUUAUUGAGUGUUAUAAACAGCCUGUUUACCACUAAA
Molecule: unclassified non-coding RNA, 137 nt
Filed under: uncultured Dothideomycetes
Lineage: Eukaryota; Fungi; Ascomycota; Dothideomycetes
Description: sequence contains ITS2
Source: RNAcentral